AAAUUGAAGAGUUUGAUCAUGGCUCAGAUUGAACGCUGGCGGCAGGCUUAACACAUGCAAGUCGAACGGUAGCAGGAAGAGGCUUGCUUCUUUGCUGACGAGUGGCGGACGGGUGAGUAAUGCUUGGGAAUCUGGCUUAUGGAGGGGGAUAACUACGGGAAACUGUAGCUAAUACCGCGUAGUAUCGAGAGAUGAAAGACUGGGACCGCAAGGCCAGUUGCCAUGAGAUGAGCCCAAGUGGGAUUAGGUAGUUGGUGGGGUAAAGGCCUACCAAGCCGACGAUCUCUAGCUGGUCUGAGAGGAUGACCAGCCACACUGGAACUGAGACACGGUCCAGACUCCUACGGGAGGCAGCAGUGGGGAAUAUUGCACAAUGGGGGGAACCCUGAUGCAGCCAUGCCGCGUGAAUGAAGAAGGCCUUCGGGUUGUAAAGUUCUUUCGGUGAUGAGGAAGGGUGGUGUUUUAAUAGAGCACUACAUUGACGUUAGUCACAGAAGAAGCACCGGCUAACUCCGUGCCAGCAGCCGCGGUAAUACGGAGGGUGCGAGCGUUAAUCGGAAUGACUGGGCGUAAAGGGCACGCAGGCGGUGACUUAAGUGAGAUGUGAAAGCCCCGAGCUUAACUUGGGAAUUGCAUUUCAUACUGGGUUGCUAGAGUAUUUUAGGGAGGGGUAGAAUUCCACGUGUAGCGGUGAAAUGCGUAGAGAUGUGGAGGAAUACCGAAGGCGAAGGCAGCCCCUUGGGAAAAUACUGACGCUCAUGUGCGAAAGCGUGGGGAGCAAACAGGAUUAGAUACCCUGGUAGUCCACGCUGUAAACGCUGUCGAUUUGGGGAUUGGGCUUAGAGCUUGGUGCCCGUAGCUAACGUGAUAAAUCGACCGCCUGGGGAGUACGGCCGCAAGGUUAAAACUCAAAUGAAUUGACGGGGGCCCGCACAAGCGGUGGAGCAUGUGGUUUAAUUCGAUGCAACGCGAAGAACCUUACCUACUCUUGACAUCCUAAGAAGAACUCAGAGAUGAGUUUGUGCCUUCGGGAACUUAGAGACAGGUGCUGCAUGGCUGUCGUCAGCUCGUGUUGUGAAAUGUUGGGUUAAGUCCCGCAACGAGCGCAACCCUUAUCCUUUGUUGCCAGCGAUU
RNAcentral lists this ribosomal RNA (1134 nucleotides) under Glaesserella parasuis. Its description in RNAcentral is "bacterial SSU rRNA". It matches the Rfam family "Bacterial small subunit ribosomal RNA", at positions 1 to 1126 of the family's 1533-position model. Lineage: Bacteria; Pseudomonadati; Pseudomonadota; Gammaproteobacteria; Pasteurellales; Pasteurellaceae. The record is from RNAcentral.